CUAACCUGCAAAAGCUAGAGAUGCAGACGGCCGUACAAACAUGAACGAACGGCAAAUCAAAUCCGCUGCGUUGUCAAUGGCGGAAGAGAAGAAUCGAACUCCAAUCAGGAGUUUGAUGUGCUGUUUCCUUUUGAUUAAUGCAGAAUCAUGAUGUUGCUUUAUGAAAAUUCUUUAGGUUAGAAACGAGUAGUUGUAAUUAGAACUCGACGGUUGUCUCUUGAACAAUGGCAGCGUCGGCAAAAACUCUUGCUAUUCCGGAUCAGUCGAAUAAUGGCGACUGGACGAUUGUUUUACCUCGUCGUGGCAGGCAGAGGAAGAAUUUGCCGAAGCUAAGAAAACAAGAAGAUCAGCGGACUUGGUCUCCGUCUGAUCAGGCCAAUGAUACAAUCAGGGAAUCGAAACUGUUGCAUAAGAUGGAAAUCUGUAUUAAGAAAGUUGAGAUCUCCCAAUUUUAUCGAACUCUUGUUGUUGAGCUUGAAACGAUGCCGGUCUUGGAAUCCUUGAAUAGGGUUUUGGCCUCGGAGUCGAAGAUGGGGAUGGUUAUCUAUGGCGUAGGAAGCAUUGAAAAUUAUGAAAAUCCUCGAUUGCAGCUCAGUCUUGCUAUAUUGUUGAAGAGAAAAUUUAGUUGGAUUGGAAGGUUAGAGGUGUUCGAUCCAAUUCUUUCUGCAAUCGAAUGUCGGAUUAUUGAAUCCUUUGGUUGUUCUGUUCUAUCAGUAAAUGAGCAAGGACGGCGAUGUGCGCAGAAGCCAACAAUGUUCUUCAUGCCCCAUUGCGAGGCAGAGCUGUACAACAAUCUUUUACAGGAGAAUUGGCCGGUGGAGCUGUUGAAUCAUGUUGUGCUGUUUGGAAAUAGCUUUGAGAUCUAUGAGCAGUUUGUAUCUGAAUUCAAGAACUCACCCGUUGUUGAUUCGGCAAAGUACAUCUUGGCCUCUAGAAAAUUCUCACGCGAGAUCAAAAUCAAGACACUUUAAGAUGAAUAUUUUGGUGCUUUCCAUGAUUCAAGUUGGCAUUUUUUCAGCCCUGUUUUACCGACAGAGCUGCAGUUCACAGAUCUUUGAGGACAUUGUCUAGUGCUUGGAGAAACAGCCAGCCAUGUAUACUCAAAAUAGAGCUUCAAGGAAUUGCCACAAGUUGAUUAAAACAUGCUUCUAUUGUUCGUUGGGAAGAUUUAAAAUCCUGAGUACCUUCUUUGGAAGGAGGGAAUGGAUGCCAUAUUUGACCACCACAACUACAAUGAAAAGGGAAAGGUAAAAGUUCGUCUCUGCAUUUGAGAAAUAUGCACUGACACGGUGAAAUGUUUAGUCAUCAAAGACAGUGGAAACCAUGCAAUACCCUCAUGUAAAGAGUUCAAGCUUCUAAUGAGGAAGCGUUUAGUUACUAAAUCUUUCCACAAAUUGUAAACUUUGAGACAGGGAGCAAAAAUGUGGAAAAAUACUAUGAAAAGAUGCUCUCAUUGCUUGAGGAGAUUAACUUAUAUGUGGAUGAGGAAGCUACCAUGAACCGUUCUACCAAGGACUGGACUUAAUGAGGAGAUUGCAGAGAUGAUUGCCAAUCAAGAAGAAAUUCAACCUUGUGAGGAUUUGAUCUUAAGGCUAUCCAUUGGAAGCAUUGAACAGUGGAAUAUCUAACAGCUAAACUGAGCAUUCUGAUGUUACCCAAACUACAGUAAAAGACCUUUCAUUGAAGUUCAAAAUGAUUCCUAGUCCACUAAUUAAUUAA
Cucurbita maxima (winter squash) is the source of this 1719-nucleotide RNA transcript. It is a transcript of the gene named protein SENSITIVITY TO RED LIGHT REDUCED 1-like, with no coding region annotated. Lineage: Eukaryota; Viridiplantae; Streptophyta; Magnoliopsida; Cucurbitales; Cucurbitaceae. The transcript is spliced from 3 exons. The record is from RefSeq and is a predicted model, not a curated record.